UCGUCUAGGCCUGCGCCUCGGCACCCCCUCGUUUCGCCUCCAUCUGUGCAGCAACAACAGCGCGACACUCCAGCGCCGCCAGCUCGUCAGGUCCUUUCCACGCGGGCGUCUUCCACCAGCCACCAAACCAUUUGAUCAAUCUCCCAGUGUUGCUAUCGUUGGUGCUGUGUAUGUGCUAUGGUGAAUUGGUGAAACCGUGCACGCCCUUCAAGUUCUCCGACGCCGGUUACCAAGUUCUUCAUUACGUUGUGUUGUUGUCCGCCGACAAGGCUCGUCGCUUCCGCAACGCCAAGCUCAAGCUCUCUAGUGGAAAUGGUGCCACACGAAGACCCCUCGCGCCGAUUCAAGUUCGGCACCGAUAAACGAAACCGAACCCGAAGACCUUCGUCACGGAAAUCUCAAGUUCUCCUUCACGGAUUCAAAGUCCGAGACCUCGCUUCAUCUUCUUCCUCUCCGAACCCGAAUCCGGCGACCGCCUUUGUUCCGAUAUCCAUUUGCUUCUUCACGGAUAGGAUCACGAAGUGUUGAUGUGAGAUACGAC
This is a long non-coding RNA of Lolium rigidum, 541 nucleotides long. RefSeq lists it as uncharacterized. The record is from RefSeq and is a predicted model, not a curated record. The transcript is spliced from 3 exons. Lineage: Eukaryota; Viridiplantae; Streptophyta; Magnoliopsida; Poales; Poaceae.